UGGGGAAUAUUGGACAAUGGGCGAAAGCCUGAUCCAGCAAUGCCGCGUGUGUGAAGAAGGCCUUAGGGUUGUAAAGCACUUUCGGUGAGGAAGAAAUACUCAAGGGUAAUAUCCUUGAGGGUUGACGUUACUUACAGAAGAAGCACUGGCUAACUCUGUGCCAGCAGCCGCGGUAAUACAGAGAGUGCAAGCGUUAAUCGGAAUUACUGGGCGUAAAGCGCGCGUAGGUGGAUAAUUAAGUCGGAUGUGAAAGCCCUGGGCUUAACCUAGGAAUUGCAUUCGAUACUGAAUGUCUCGAGUAUGGUAGAGGGAAGUGGAAUUUCCGGUGUAGCGGUGAAAUGCGUAGAUAUCGGAAAGAACACCAGUGGCGAAGGCGGCUUCCUGGACCAAUACUGACACUGAAGUGCGAAAGCGUGGGGAGCAAACAGG
RNAcentral lists this ribosomal RNA (429 nucleotides) under uncultured bacterium. RNAcentral's name for it is "bacterial SSU rRNA". It matches the Rfam family "Bacterial small subunit ribosomal RNA", at positions 355 to 776 of the family's 1533-position model. The record is from RNAcentral.